CGUCUGUUCGGCUCGCUCCAACCGAGGCACCGGAGCAGAGCUAAGAGGUCGCCAAAGCUAUUCGUGACUGUUAGUCUUCUCGCGACUCUCAUCCAGUAAACCCGACUCAUUCAUCAUCUGGUGAUAUAUUUUGAUUUGGUAUAUUAAAUUGUAAAAGUCUUAGAUUUUUCGUAGUAGUAUUGGUGGUCAUUUUCUGUAGUUUUGGGUCUCGCCUAAUUUUUCUGGCAGACCGAAUUAAUUAUGUAAAAUGUAAAUGUUAAGAUAACUUGUGGUAUCAAUAAUAUUAAUUGAGAUGAGAUUUAUUUAA
Ricinus communis (castor bean) is the source of this 307-nucleotide long non-coding RNA. RefSeq lists it as uncharacterized. The transcript is spliced from 2 exons. The record is from RefSeq and is a predicted model, not a curated record. Lineage: Eukaryota; Viridiplantae; Streptophyta; Magnoliopsida; Malpighiales; Euphorbiaceae.